This is a long non-coding RNA of Eucalyptus grandis, 590 nucleotides long. RefSeq lists it as uncharacterized. The transcript has 2 exons. The record is from RefSeq and is a predicted model, not a curated record. NCBI's taxonomy places the organism in Eukaryota, Viridiplantae, Streptophyta, Magnoliopsida, Myrtales, Myrtaceae.
CUCGACGGAGCCACAUUCCGGCUCAAUGGGAGAUGGCGGAGCUGCGUCUGCUUCGGCCGUGCGGCCGAUCGUCGAAGACGGGACGCCCCCGUGUGGGGGCCACAGAGAGAGCGGAAUGGGGCUAUGAUCGGGGCUCGGCGCGCUCUCUGUCUGCAAAGGCGGGGCUGAGCAACGACGUUCGGGCGGGCGACGGAUUCGAGGGCGUACUGGAGUUGAGGCGGACGUGUGAUUAUGGAUAAAGCAUCCUGUGGUAAGAAAUUGGUCUUCAGGUGGGCAGGUUUUAUGUGAGAGAGAGGGUACAAGUUCACACUCCCUUUGAGCAACUGAUUUUAAUUAUAGUCAGCUUAUAAUUUUGGCAAUGUAUUUCAUAUCAAUAUGCAACUGAUAUAGUUAACUAAUCUACCUUAAGUGGAUAUUUGUGCAAUAAGUUAAGACACUAUAUUUUGACAAAUUUUUGUUUGACCAAUUUAAUUGUAGAUUAUCCAUUCAUUCAUCCGGUACUUAUUUUUAUUCAUUGCAUACAUGGUUAUAGUUAUGUAGUGAUAAUGCACGACUUACAUCUUAAAUGAAUUUAGAUCAUUUUCGGGAAA